GGGCUCUCACCUCGGCACCACAUAUACUAAAACUGGGAUGACCAGAGGAGAUCAGCAUGGUCCCUGCACAAGGAUGACAUGCAAAUCUGUGAAGCAUUCCAUUUCUUU
RNAcentral lists this small nuclear RNA (108 nucleotides) under Moschus moschiferus (Siberian musk deer). The record is from RNAcentral. Lineage: Eukaryota; Metazoa; Chordata; Mammalia; Artiodactyla; Moschidae.